Molecule: non-coding RNA, 112 nt
Organism: Ipomoea nil (Japanese morning glory)
Lineage: Eukaryota; Viridiplantae; Streptophyta; Magnoliopsida; Solanales; Convolvulaceae
Source: Rfam
UAAAGCUUUUUGCGGGGAAACUUGCAAGUACAGUUUGGGGGGAAGUAAAAGAAGAAAUGGUCGCCGCUGCGAGAGAGAAACUUGUCUGGUCUUGCGGUGCACUCUUUCCCGU